AAUAGAUACCCAGGUAGUCCACGCCGUAAACGAUGAGUGCUAAGUGUUAGAGGGUUUCCGCCCUUUAGUGCUGCAGCAAACGCAUUAAGCACUCCGCCUGGGGAGUACGGUCGCAAGACUGAAACUCAAAGGAAUUGACGGGGGCCCGCACAAGCGGUGGAGCAUGUGGUUUAAUUCGAAGCAACGCGAAGAACCUUACCAGGUCUUGACAUCCUUAUGACUUCUCUAGAGAUAGAGCUUUCCCUUCGGGGACAUAAGUGACAGGUGGUGCAUGGUUGUCGUCAGCUCGUGUCGUGAGAUGUUGGGUUAAGUCCCACAACGAGCGCAACCCUUGAUCUUAGUUGCCAGCAUUCAGUUGGGCACUCUAAGGUGACUGCCGGUGACAAACCGGAGGAAGGUGGGGAUGACGUCAAAUCAUCAUGCCCCUUAUGACCUGGGCUACACACGUGCUACAAUGGAUGGUACAAAGGGUAGCGAGACCGCGAGGUUUAGCCAAUCCCAUAAAAACCAUUCUCAGUUCGGAUUGCAGG
RNAcentral lists this ribosomal RNA (530 nucleotides) under uncultured bacterium. Its description in RNAcentral is "bacterial SSU rRNA". It matches the Rfam family "Bacterial small subunit ribosomal RNA", at positions 777 to 1304 of the family's 1533-position model. The record is from RNAcentral.